This 449-nucleotide ribosomal RNA is filed under the name uncultured bacterium. Its description in RNAcentral is "partial 16S ribosomal RNA". It matches the Rfam family "Bacterial small subunit ribosomal RNA", at positions 29 to 523 of the family's 1533-position model. The record is from RNAcentral.
AACGAACGCUGGCGGCAUGCCUAAUACAUGCAAGUCGAACGAGACCUUCGGGUCUAGUGGCGCACGGGUGCGUAACGCGUGGGAAUCUGCCCUUGGGUUCGGAAUAACAGUUGGAAACGACUGCUAAUACCGGAUGAUGACGUAAGUCCAAAGAUUUAUCGCCCAGGGAUGAGCCCGCGUAGGAUUAGCUAGUUGGUGGGGUAAAGGCCCACCAAGGCGACGAUCCUUAGCUGGUCUGAGAGGAUGAUCAGCCACACUGGGACUGAGACACGGCCCAGACUCCUACGGGAGGCAGCAGUAGGGAAUAUUGGACAAUGGGGGCAACCCUGAACCAGCAAUGCCGCGUGAGUGAUGAAGGCCUUAGGGUUGUAAAGCUCUUUUACCCGGGAUGAUAAUGACAGUACCGGGAGAAUAAGCCCCGGCUAACUCCGUGCCAGCCGCCGCGGUAA